GACGAACGCUGGCGGCGUGCCUAAUACAUGCAAGUAGAACGCUGAAGGAGGAGCUUGCUUCUCUGGAUGAGUUGCGAACGGGUGAGUAACGCGUAGGUAACCUGCCUGGUAGCGGGGGAUAACUAUUGGAAACGAUAGCUAAUACCGCAUAAGAGUAGAUGUUGCAUGACAUUUGCUUAAAAGGUGCAAUUGCAUCACUACCAGAUGGACCUGCGUUGUAUUAGCUAGUUGGUGGGGUAACGGCUCACCAAGGCGACGAUACAUAGCCGACCUGAGAGGGUGAUCGGCCACACUGGGACUGAGACACGGCCCAGACUCCUACGGGAGGCAGCAGUAGGGAAUCUUCGGCAAUGGACGGAAGUCUGACCGAGCAACGCCGCGUAAGUGAAGAAGGGUUUCGGAUCGUAAAGCUCUGUUGUAAGAGAAGAACGAGUGUGAGAGUGGAAAGUUCACACUGUGACGGUAUCUUACCAGAAAGGGACGGCUAACUACGUG
This 495-nucleotide ribosomal RNA is filed under the name uncultured bacterium. RNAcentral's name for it is "partial 16S ribosomal RNA". It matches the Rfam family "Bacterial small subunit ribosomal RNA", at positions 28 to 507 of the family's 1533-position model. The record is from RNAcentral.